RNAcentral lists this microRNA precursor (160 nucleotides) under Paramuricea clavata. The record is from RNAcentral. Lineage: Eukaryota; Metazoa; Cnidaria; Anthozoa; Malacalcyonacea; Plexauridae.
AAUAAAUAUAUGUUAUUUACCGGCUGCGAGGUCCGGAUGAGAAAAACUGCGCCCGAGGUCUUGAAAACGGCCCGAGCCCGAAGGGCGAGGGACGUUUUGAAGACCGAGGGCACAGUUUUUCUCAUCCGGACCGACGCUGCCGGUAAAUAACGUGUUUAUU